Molecule: unclassified non-coding RNA, 374 nt
Filed under: uncultured Alphaproteobacteria bacterium
Lineage: Bacteria; Pseudomonadati; Pseudomonadota; Alphaproteobacteria
Description: contains 16S-23S intergenic spacer region
Source: RNAcentral
UCCCGCUUAUCACGGGCAGUUCCCCUGGAGUGCCCAGCCUAACCUGAUGGCAACUAAGGGUGUGGGUUGCGCUCGUUGCCGGACUUAACCGAACAUCUCACGACACGAGCUGACGACAGCCAUGCAGCACCUGUCCACCUGCCCCUUGCGGGGAAAACCUGUCUCCAGGCCGGUCAGGGCAUGUCAAGGGUUGGUAAGGUUCUGCGCGUUGCUUCGAAUUAAGCCACAUGCUCCACCGCUUGUGCGGGCCCCCGCCAAUUCCUUUGAGUUUCAACCUUGCGGCCGUAGUCCCCAGGCGGUUCACUUAAUGCGUUAGCUGCGGCACCGAGGGGAACCCCCGACACCUAGUCUGCAUCGUUUACAGCGUGGACUAC